GCAAGUCGACUGGAAUUCUUCUUCGGAAGAUAGUACGGUGGCGCACGGGUGAGUAACGCGUAAGUAAUCUACCCUGGUAUCUGGGAUAACCCACCGAAAGGUGUGCUAAUACCGGAUACGCUGAUUUAUCAGGAAAGGUGGCCUCUUCAUGAAAGCUACUGUACCAGGAGGAGCUUGCGUACCAUUAGCUAGUUGGUAGGGUAAUGGCCUACCAAGGCGACGAUGGUUAGCGGGUCUGAGAGGAUGAUC
Molecule: ribosomal RNA, 249 nt
Filed under: uncultured bacterium
Lineage: Bacteria
Description: partial 16S ribosomal RNA
Rfam family: Bacterial small subunit ribosomal RNA
Source: RNAcentral